GAAUUCAACUCCUACGGGAGGCAGCAGUGGGGAAUAUUGGACAAUGGGCGAAAGCCUGAUCCAGCAAUGCCGCGUGAGUGAUGAAGGCCUUAGGGUUGUAAAGCUCUUUUACCCGAGAUGAUAAUGACAGUAUCGGGAGAAUAAGCUCCGGCUAACUCCGUGCCAGCAGCCGCGGUAAUACGGAGGGAGCUAGCGUUGUUCGGAAUUACUGGGCGUAAAGCGCACGUAGGCGGCGAUUUAAGUCAGAGGUGAAAGCCCGGGGCUCAACCCCGGAACUGCCUUUGAGACUGGAUUGCUAGAAUCUUAGAGAGGCGAGUGGAAUUCCGAGUGUAGAGGUGAAAUUCGUAGAUAUUCGGAAGAACACCAGUGGCGAAGGCGGCUCGCUGGACAAGUAUUGACGCUGAGGUGCGAAAGCGUGGGGAGCAAACAGGAUUAGAUACCCGUGUAGUCCAGGCGUU
Molecule: ribosomal RNA, 458 nt
Filed under: uncultured bacterium
Lineage: Bacteria
Description: bacterial SSU rRNA
Rfam family: Bacterial small subunit ribosomal RNA
Source: RNAcentral